Lactuca sativa (garden lettuce) is the source of this 789-nucleotide long non-coding RNA. RefSeq lists it as uncharacterized. The record is from RefSeq and is a predicted model, not a curated record. Lineage: Eukaryota; Viridiplantae; Streptophyta; Magnoliopsida; Asterales; Asteraceae.
UGCAUUGUGACAUUUUUAUAAAUAAUAGGAACAAUAAAGGGACGUGGGCAUAUAAAUUAAAUGGCAUUAGGGGCAUUUUAGAGUUAUAGGAAUUGACUACUUACACACACGUCUGAUCACCAUUCCUCAUCAGAUCUCUCUAUCUUUUCCCUCCCAUCUCUCCCAUAUCUCUACCGUAUCUCUUUCCUUCCAUCGAUUGUAUCCGCCCUUCCUUAAUCGACAACCUCUACUCCGACUUCAUCGUCAUCCUCGUCGUCCUUUUGCAUUCCUUAAUCUGCGUCCUCGGUCUCGUCGCAGUCACUCGCUGCACCUAGAUCUAUCAGAUCUCCUAUAUAAUCUCCUACACUAAAGAAACAAUAACGGAGAAUUUCCCCGACUGUGUUAUCUGCUUGAUGGAAUUCGUCUCCAGUGAUGAGAUCAGAUCAUUGCCAAGGUUCAUCAUGGUUUUCAUGUCUUGUGCGUUAACACUUGGUUCGGAUCUCACUCCUUCUUUCCGUCUUGUCGCCAUAUCCUAUUAGCACCACCGAGAUGUAAGAAAUGCAGUGAAGUUCCUGUCGAUGAAUCCACUGCAGCUCAGACAAAUGCUUCAAUCGACAGAUUUGGAAGAAUUUGUGGAAAAAUAUUGAAGAUGUGAAGUGAUAAUUUGAGGAAAAUAUGGAAAUCUUGGCGCGACGACCUAAAAACGCUUUGACAUUUUGUAACAUUUUUUUUUUAUAUUAUAUUUUGUAUCGAAUAUAAUGCUUCUACUAUUGUGUUUAAAGAUUAGUAAAUAAAAAUGAGUUUUUUUUA